UAAAAUAUCCAAAUUCUCAUAUUGUGUGCCAACACGUCAAACUCGGCCCGGGUUGCCGUCAACUGGGUCAUUUUACCUGGGAGAAAAUCCAAAUUCGGGUGGGUUUCAAUACAUUAGCCUUUUGACUUUUACGCAAAGUCAGACGAGAUCACCAAACUUGGACCCCUUCGCAUACACCGUUCCAAUGCAAGGAAUCAGGAUUGGCAACACGAGAUUGAACAUCCCAGUGUCGGCUUUCCGGCCUGACCCGAGUGGUUCGGGUCAAACCAUGAUCGACUCAGGCUCCGAGUUUACUUACUUGGUGGACGCCGCUUAUAAUAAAGUGAGGGAAGAG
RNAcentral lists this unclassified non-coding RNA (334 nucleotides) under Hevea brasiliensis (rubber tree). Lineage: Eukaryota; Viridiplantae; Streptophyta; Magnoliopsida; Malpighiales; Euphorbiaceae. The record is from RNAcentral.